CGAUUUGAUCACAAUCUGAAUUUCAGCAUAUAUCAAUUUCAGCAUAUGAAAUAGAUCUAUAUAGUUUUAUAUUUUUAUGUAUGCAAAAUUCAGAUUAAAAAUAUUUUAAUCUUAUUCUCCACUGCAGUAUUUAGAAAAUAAAAAUUUUGAAAUAUAUAUGCAUGCACCAAACCCAAAAUUCCAAAACAAAAUACUUGCAU
Molecule: long non-coding RNA, 200 nt
Filed under: Elaeis guineensis (African oil palm)
Lineage: Eukaryota; Viridiplantae; Streptophyta; Magnoliopsida; Arecales; Arecaceae
Description: long non-coding RNA (EGUI_LNC004875)
Source: RNAcentral